RNAcentral lists this long non-coding RNA (723 nucleotides) under Lathyrus oleraceus (garden pea). RNAcentral describes it as "Pisum sativum (pea) long non-coding RNA (PSAT_LNC021814)". The record is from RNAcentral. Lineage: Eukaryota; Viridiplantae; Streptophyta; Magnoliopsida; Fabales; Fabaceae.
AGAAAAUAUAAGGUGAAAUCCAACAAAAUGACUUCUCAAAGCUGUCAAUCUUCUUAUCUUUUUGGUGUUUUAUGUAUUAUUUUGAUUUUGAAUUCAGGUAAAGGGAGGAAUUUUUUCUAUAUCUCUUUUAAUAAAAUUUUAUUUUGAUGAAACAAUUUACAUUUAAAUUUAAGAAUUUUUAUUAUUUGUAUCCUUAAAAAAAAAAUUCAUAGAGAGAGAAAAAGAUUAGCUUUAGUUGUUAGAUCUACGUGAUUCACCAACUUUUGAUGAAGUAAUGAUAAUAUCGGGUGAAAAAUUUGAAAAAUAUCAAGAAACAACUUUGUGUGCAUAAUAACUUAUACAAUUUUUUUUGUUUCAGGAUCUGUUACUAGUUUGGACACUCCAGCUACACUAGAUUGCCCUUAUGGAAGAAAUGGACCACCAGCAGCAUGUUGCGUAGAUACUUGUAAUACAAAUUGUGGCACAAAAUGCCUUAGAAAGGGAUUUCAAAAAGGUGGACAAUGUUGGUUUCCGGGUGGUCAAGAUAAUUGUUGUUGUUUUAUUUAAGAAGCUACGGUGUAUCAUUCAUAUCAAUAAAAAAUAAAAGCUGCACCUUAAUUUGUGUUUGAAAAUUAGAAGCUGUAAGGAGUUUUUGUAAAGUUGGAAAUCUGUAAACCUCAAUUAUCGAUAAAUUCACUUUAAAAUGAAAAUAAAUUCUCAUCAACAAUCUAUGUUACAAAUUAG